This 1016-nucleotide long non-coding RNA is filed under the name Fukomys damarensis (Damara mole-rat). RNAcentral's name for it is "lncRNA (ENSFDAG00000023125.1)". Lineage: Eukaryota; Metazoa; Chordata; Mammalia; Rodentia; Bathyergidae. The record is from RNAcentral.
CCACAGGGUGGCAGAUCUGUGCCGGUGCAGUGACCCCAAGGCAGACUCCGGGUGGGGGACCCCAAAAGGCUCCCACGCUGGGGUCCCACCGAGGCCUGAGCGAGAGCCUGUGAGCAGGAGGGGCAGGCAAGGCCCUCUCUGAGCCUCAGCCCCAGUGGGGGGCUGCGGGAGGCGGCAGAGUGGCACGGAGGGACACCCCCCCGCUGUUGUUUUGUUUUAUUUGGGGGGGGCGUUGGUCUAGUUCUUUGUUUUUGAAUUUUUUUUUUUAAAUUUUGGGACAGGGUCUCACUAUGUAGUUCAGGUUGCCCUUGAACUCAUUAUGGAGCUAGGCCGCCCUCAAACCUGCAGCAGCCCUCCUGCCUCAGCCUCCCAGUGCUAGGAUUCUUGGGACUGAAAUGCCCAGCGGAGAAGCCAAGUGACUCAGAAGAGGAAAGGACAAGAGGGGGGUCUCUCUGGAAAGACGCCAGGACUGCGCAUGUCCCCCGCUGACCAGGUCCUGUGACGAGUGUGCCCACUGUGCCCUUCUGUGAGGUUCCCUUAAACCCUCUCUCUCCUUUCUUCCCUUCCUUCUGUCCCUCCCUUCCUGGUACUGGGCUUUCGCUGGGCUACAUCCCCAGUCUUUUUUGUUUUUUGAGACAGGGUCUGGCCACAUUGUCCAGGCUGGGCUCCUACUUGUAAUCCUCCUGCCUCAGCCUCCAAGACUGCUGGGAUUGCUAGAAUGUGCUACCACACCUGGCUUCUUCAAGCGUUGUUUUCUUGGGGCUGCCCGAUUCUUGGGCCAGGAGUGGGGUGCAGGCAGCAGCUCUGAGCCACGGGGACCACGGCCUGACGACCAGAGAAACUGAGGCCAGAGGGCAGGGCCUGAGGGCCUCCUGCCCUGGGCCCCCAGCUUCCCUGCCUGUGCGGCCCCCACAGGAAUGACCCUCUGCACCAGAGGCCUGGCCCGGAAUCCAGGCAGGUCGGUCCCCAAGUUUCCUCCCCGGCCGCCCCCUCCUGUCUGGGCUCCUCCCCGCCGA